UGGAGGUUGUCACAUGAUCUGACCAUCUCCCCGCGUCACUGGCCAGAAGACGCUGAACAGCAUACGUCGCCGGCGGUGAUGUCACUUGAUGGCGUCCGGCGCUCGGCGGCGGUAGGAGGAGGUGGAUGACAUGCACUGGGUAUCCAUUCACAAGGAUCUUGAUGAUCGAAACGGCAUUGGUGCAGAGACCAGUGGACUACCUAAGGACCAUCACCGAGACUACAUCCUACCCAUUGGACAUAUGAACUAAAGUUAACUGCAGAUUUAUCAAGCCUUGGAGAGUAAUAAAUAGCACGGUGAUAAAGUACCAACCAAUCAGCAACUAAUUGACAUGUCACAGGUCGCCAAUUACAACCCCAUUACUUCUUCUUUGGAGACAUAAUUUUGUCCCUAGUUCUUCUGGAAUAUAAUGUAAAUAUCAUACCUAUGGAGAAAUUGACAUUUAUUAACGAUAAGAUCAAUAACUAUAUUUAAAUGUUAUUUUUUGUAGAAACAACAUGUACAAACAGAUUGUAAUUGGUCCAUCUCUUUCUUCUUGUUGCCUGUUUUGCAUAUUUUUUGCAUAUUAUUCGGUGGAAGCCAUCCAUUUGUCAGAGUCCUUUUGUAUGUCUAAUAUUUUUUAGUAAUCAACUAAUAUUUUAAACUCUGAAAGAUACACAUGUUUUAAAAGAACACCUGUCAGUGAUUGCUAUAUUAGACCAUGUCAACCAAAUAAUCUGUGUUAAAAAUUGUUUAAAAAAAUGUUUUUAGGUUUAAUGUCUCAAUUGUAAAUGGAUUUACAUUUGUUUCAAAGCUGAAAAAAUAAGUGUAUAUUAAGACAACUUAUGUUCUGUUCUUUCUAAAGACACCCCUAAUGCAGUCACUAUCGACGAAACGCGUUGGAUGAUAAGGAUUUUGUUAAUACGGAAGCUAAUAAAGAACGCUGCCCUCAUAGAGGCACCUACUAACAAUUAAGGAAAGCUUUUUAUUAGUGAUUUAUGGACUGG
Long non-coding RNA from Pseudophryne corroboree (corroboree frog), 986 nucleotides. RefSeq lists it as uncharacterized. The record is from RefSeq and is a predicted model, not a curated record. Lineage: Eukaryota; Metazoa; Chordata; Amphibia; Anura; Myobatrachidae. The transcript is spliced from 3 exons.